This 565-nucleotide ribosomal RNA is filed under the name uncultured bacterium. Its description in RNAcentral is "bacterial SSU rRNA". It matches the Rfam family "Bacterial small subunit ribosomal RNA", at positions 8 to 564 of the family's 1533-position model. The record is from RNAcentral.
AGAGUUUGAUCCUGGCUCAGGAUGAACGCUGGCGGCGUGCCUAACACAUGCAAGUCGAACGGGUGUGGUAUCAGGGAAAAGGGGUUUACUUCUUUGACCAGAUAACACACUAGUGGCGGACGGGUGAGUAACGCGUGGAUAACCUGCCUUAUACAGGGGGAUAACAGGGAGAAAUUCUUGCUAAUACCCCAUAGGUAUGUCUGACGCAUGUUGGACAUAUUAAAGCUUUGGCGGUAUAAGAUGGGUCCGCGUCUGAUUAGCUAGUUGGUGGGGUAAAGGCCCACCAAGGCGACGAUCAGUAGCCGGCUUGAGAGAGUGGACGGCCACAUUGGGACUGAGACACGGCCCAAACUCCUACGGGAGGCAGCAGUGGGGAAUAUUGCACAAUGGGGGAAACCCUGAUGCAGCGACGCCGCGUGAAGGAAGAAGGUCUUCGGAUCGUAAACUUCUAUCAGCAGGGAAGAAGGAAGUGACAGUACCUGAGUAAGAAGCCCCGGCUAACUACGUGCCAGCAGCCGCGGUAAUACGUAGGGGGCGAGCGUUAUCCGGAAUUACUGGGUGUAAA